RNAcentral lists this ribosomal RNA (229 nucleotides) under uncultured bacterium. Its description in RNAcentral is "partial 16S ribosomal RNA". It matches the Rfam family "Bacterial small subunit ribosomal RNA", at positions 568 to 796 of the family's 1533-position model. The record is from RNAcentral.
CGCGCAGGCGGGUUGGCAAGUCAGAGGUGAAAUCCUACAGCUUAACUGUAGAACUGCCUUUGAUACUGCUAAUCUUGAGUAUGGAAGAGAGAGACGGAAUUCCAGGUGUAGUGGUGAAAUACGUAGAUAUCUGGAAGAACACCAGUUGCGAAGGCGGUCUCUUGGUCCAAUACUGACGCUGAGGCGCGAAAGCGUGGGUAGCAAACAGGAUUAGAUACCCUGGUAGUCC